This 195-nucleotide unclassified non-coding RNA is filed under the name rhizosphere metagenome. RNAcentral describes it as "partial ribosomal RNA internal transcribed spacer region". The record is from RNAcentral.
GAAAUAAACCUGAUGGGUUGUUGCUGGCUCUCUAGGGAGCAUGUGCACACCUUGUCAUCUUUAUAUCUCCACCUGUGCACCUUUUGUAGACAUCUUUCCAGGUGUCUAUGUUGAUUCUUCAUUUACCCCAAUGUAUGUCAAUAGAAUGUUGUGUCCAUAAUAUAUACAACUUUCAGCAAUGGAUCUCUUGGCUCU